RNAcentral lists this unclassified non-coding RNA (181 nucleotides) under uncultured Lipomyces. RNAcentral describes it as "sequence contains ITS2". Lineage: Eukaryota; Fungi; Ascomycota; Lipomycetes; Lipomycetales; Lipomycetaceae. The record is from RNAcentral.
AUAUACUCAAAACUUCGUUUUGGUAGUGGGCACGUAUCUGGCGUAAGCUAGAUUUGCCUGAAAUAUAGUGGUAGAGAUCGCUGCAAGUGAUGCAAGUUAGCCAAUGCUAUUAAGUUAAUUCGUUGGUGAAGCAUGUGGAGCUUUAGUGAUGAUUUUCCUUAACUAUUGGAAUUUUUUCUAA